GGGUCGUUAGCUCAGUUGGUAGAGCAGUUGACUUUUAAUCAAUGCGAUAUGGAAGAUUCGAACCUGCCGCAGGUUCG
Molecule: transfer RNA, 77 nt
Filed under: Salmonella enterica subsp. enterica serovar Paratyphi A
Lineage: Bacteria; Pseudomonadati; Pseudomonadota; Gammaproteobacteria; Enterobacterales; Enterobacteriaceae
Description: tRNA-Pseudo
Rfam family: tRNA
About the family: Transfer RNA (tRNA) molecules are approximately 80 nucleotides in length. Their secondary structure includes four short double-helical elements and three loops (D, anti-codon, and T loops).
Source: RNAcentral